GACGAACGCUGGCGGCGUGCCUAAUACAUGCAAGUCGAGCGGUUGAAGCCUUCGGGCAGAGAUAGCGGCGGACGGGUGAGUAACACGUAGGUAACCUGCCUAUCAGACUGGGAUAACUACCGGAAACGGUAGCUAAGACCGGAUACGACCAUUUGAGGGCAUCCUUAGAUGGUGAAAAGCGGAGCAAUCUGCUACUGAUAGAUGGACCUGCGGCGCAUUAGCUAGUUGGUGAGGUAGAGGCUCACCAAGGCGACGAUGCGUAGCCGACCUGAGAGGGUGAACGGCCACACUGGGACUGAGACACGGCCCAGACUCCUACGGGAGGCAGCAGUAGGGAAUCUUCGGCAAUGGACGAAAGUCUGACCGAGCAACGCCGCGUGAGUGAUGAAGGUUUUCGGAUCGUAAAACUCUGUUGCCAGGGAAGAAUGGUUGGGAGAGUAACUGCUCUUAAUUUGACGGUACCUGAGAAGAAAGCCCCGGCUAACUACGUGCCAGCAGCCGCGGUAACAC
This 510-nucleotide ribosomal RNA is filed under the name uncultured bacterium. RNAcentral describes it as "bacterial SSU rRNA". It matches the Rfam family "Bacterial small subunit ribosomal RNA", at positions 28 to 526 of the family's 1533-position model. The record is from RNAcentral.